UGAACAUUUGUCCUACAUUGAGAAG
This 25-nucleotide non-coding RNA is filed under the name Rattus norvegicus (Norway rat). Lineage: Eukaryota; Metazoa; Chordata; Mammalia; Rodentia; Muridae. The record is from RNAcentral.